Molecule: long non-coding RNA, 1519 nt
Organism: Daucus carota subsp. sativus
Lineage: Eukaryota; Viridiplantae; Streptophyta; Magnoliopsida; Apiales; Apiaceae
Exons: 5
Source: RefSeq, a predicted model, not a curated record
UUGUUCUUCUCUAUCACAACAAUAUUCUAAAAUGUUGCCAUAGAUAUUAAGAAAUGUUGCCAAAAAAUAAUAUUUAUUAUUUUAUUUAUGAGGUGUCACUUUGAGGCCACUCUAAUGACAUUUUAUCUAGUGUCAAUUCCGUGAUCAAAUCUUUGCCUACUUAUCCCCCGUUAAUUGAAUAGUAGCCCGAAAAGUGAAAUAAUUUUAAAAAAUUGUUUUAAGCUUUAUUUGUGAAAAUAAAAGAAUGAUUUAAAAAUAUUAUUUUUACAAACAUAAUAUAUUCGGGAUUUUUAGAAUUUUUCUAAAUUUGAAAAAUAUUUAUGGACUCCUAAAUUCAUUUAUUUGUUAUAUAUAGCUUUUAUAUUUGUUAAAACCAGUUUACACUUUACAAGCAGAGUAGUCGGUUCAAUUUGGGGAUAAAAACAGAGGUUAGGGUUCUCAAACCCAUUUGGCCGAUCGAUUCAAUCAGAGCGGCGGAGGACGGCUUUAGAGGCGACGCCGUCAGUAAUCGGAGGGAUUAUAGCUGAUAGGAGGAUCUGGACACGAGAGGCGUCCAGAUUUGUUUGAUUUCUGGGGUAAAUGGUAGUGUGUGGCUGGGGAAUUGACAUGCGGUCUCGGCUUUACUCUGGCCGGAAGUGUUGCGGCGUGGGGAUGAGCAGCGACGGCGUCUACUCGAUGACGGGUGGUAUACGAAGAUGUGGUAAAAGGUGGAUUGGAUCCCAAGAAGGAACCAAGAAUUUCAGGCCAAAGUGUUUAUGAGUGGUAAAUGAUUUCUUAAUUUUUGUUCAUAGCUUUUGGCAUAUGGGAGAAGUAUGUAAGAAAGACUGUGAAUCAUUAGUUAUUGAUUAUAAAUUUUUUUGAAGAAAUAGUUAUCACUUGUUUUCUUUUUGAUGGUUUUAACUUUUAAUUUUUAUCUGUUAGACUAUAUAUAAUGACUACUUUAAUAUUACAGAUCUCUGAGGAAAAUUGCAGUGCUUGUCCUUGAUGUUUUGUUACCAGAAUGAUGGUGUUUUGAGGAUAUGUAGCUUAAUAUUUCUUGAGCAAUAUCCUCUAGUUGAAAUAGGCAGGAAUAGUAAUUUGUAUAUGAUGCUGUGAAGUCGAUGACUUAGCACAAUGUUGGAGCCUUGGUAGUGCUAAGACCUGGGGAGCAAAAUGCAGUUGCUGGAAUCGUCACAUAAAGAGCUAUCUUGGAUGAUAAACUUAUUAAGAUGAGAGAACAGUUUGUAGCUGGUGUUGACGAGGAUUUGGAGGACAAACUUCACCCGGGAGGUCCAUCUGAUCCAUUGGGACUAGCAGAUGACCUUGAUCAGGCUGCACUUCUCGAGGUAAAGGAGGUCAAGAAGACUUGCAAUGUUUGCGAUGCUCGGAUUCUUGUUGCUUGGUUAAGUGUUGGCAUCAAGUAGUAGUAGGGACUAGGGAUGUAUAUUGUGGAUGUUGAUUUUGGAAUGGAAGGAAAUUUAUGUAUUCAAACUGUACCUUUUAAUUUGAUAAUUUAAAAACUAUUGCAGUUAGUAUAAAA